GAUGAACGCUGACAGAAUGCUUAACACAUGCAAGUCUUUGGCGAAGCUGUGCUUGCACAGCCUAGCCAAGGCGGACGGGUGAGUAACGCGUAAGGGACUUGCCCUGCAGUCAGGGAUAACAGACGGAAACGACUGAUAAAACCUGGUAAAGUCAGGCGGACUCAUGUCCAGCCUGAUGAAAAGGAAUGCUGCAGGAGAGCCUUGCGUCCUAUUAGCUUGUUGGUGGGGUAACGGCCCACCAAGGCGAUGAUAGGUAGCCGGCCUGAGAGGGUGGACGGCCACAAGGGGACUGAGAUACGGCCCUUACUCCUACGGGAGGCAGCAGUGGGGAAUAUUGGACAAUGGGGGCAACCCUGAUCCAGCAAUUCUGUGUGCACGAUGAAGGUCUUCGGAUUGUAAAGUGCUUUCAGCAGGGAAGAAAA
This 422-nucleotide ribosomal RNA is filed under the name Leptotrichia wadei. RNAcentral describes it as "bacterial SSU rRNA". It matches the Rfam family "Bacterial small subunit ribosomal RNA", at positions 28 to 451 of the family's 1533-position model. Lineage: Bacteria; Fusobacteriati; Fusobacteriota; Fusobacteriia; Fusobacteriales; Leptotrichiaceae. The record is from RNAcentral.